This 340-nucleotide ribosomal RNA is filed under the name uncultured bacterium. RNAcentral describes it as "partial 16S ribosomal RNA". It matches the Rfam family "Bacterial small subunit ribosomal RNA", at positions 338 to 675 of the family's 1533-position model. The record is from RNAcentral.
CCUACGGGUGGCUGCAGUGAGGAAUAUUGGUCAAUGGGCGAGAGCCUGAACCAGCCAAGUCGCGUGAAGGAUGACGGCCCUACGGGUUGUAAACUUCUUUUGUCAGGGAGCAAUUGAGUCCACGUGUGGGCGUAGCGAUAGUACCUGAAGAAAAAGCAGCGGCUAACUCCGUGACAGCAGCCGCGGUAAUACGGGGGAUGCGAGCGUUAUCCGGAUUUAUUGGGUUUAAAGGCUGCGUAGGCGGAAUAUCAAGUGAGCGGUAAUAAUUCGGGGCUCAACCCCGUCGUGACGUUGAAACGGCUGUUCUUGAGUGGGCGAGAAGUAUGCGGAAUGCGUGGUG